Non-coding RNA from Mycena sp. CBHHK59/15, 97 nucleotides. Lineage: Eukaryota; Fungi; Basidiomycota; Agaricomycetes; Agaricales; Mycenaceae. The record is from the annotation of a GenBank genome assembly.
GCGGACGUGGUGUAUGGCACGCUACUGCCGUCAAUCAUGUAUGAUGAACUGAACAAUAAGUCAGCAGUUGAACGGGGUUCGACUCCCCGCGUUCGCC